Long non-coding RNA from Ceratina calcarata, 1210 nucleotides. RefSeq lists it as uncharacterized. NCBI's taxonomy places the organism in Eukaryota, Metazoa, Arthropoda, Insecta, Hymenoptera, Apidae. The record is from RefSeq and is a predicted model, not a curated record. The transcript is spliced from 2 exons.
UUGCCAAUAAUACUUACGUAUCUAUACGUUCAUACGAGUCGGAGCAUCGGAUGCCUCCGGAUGCGUGCGACCUUCGCUGGUAUCCUCCUUUUUUUUUCUACUCUACUACCUCCUACCUACUUCUUUUUACGCUCGACUUCCAUUUGCAUUCGUACGUUUUAACAUAUGACAUUUGUAACAGACUCCUUUUACGAGUGGAUUCGAAUCCGAUGGAAAUUAAUUUUUCUAUAUGUUUGCAUUAUUUACAUAACGUGUAGAUAUACGUGCAUCUCGAUUGAUGUCGUCGAGUAUAAACAGAUAACCUUCGCCGCGAUAAUAGUUACCUGGAGUAGGGACCCUCCUAGCUACAUGUGUGUGGUUCGCUUCACCACGAUAGUACUUAAUACCAUCGUUCGUGUUUUAUUGGCGUAACUUUUAACACGAUGAGUCGGCAACAUCGUACAUUUAUUUUCUGUUAUUUCGGCUGAUCGAAAAUAAUUUCGAUUUGGAUUCGAAAUUAUGACAGAUAAGAAUAGUGCUGUUUAAUCGAUGUAUCGCGGUGACUAUAGUAUCGCGGAGAUCGAUGCGAUUAUCCAACGACAAUUUUCGAGCCAGAUAAAGAAAAGAGGAGAUGAGGCAGAGCAUUUAAAAACUAAUUCAUGUCACACGGACGGACGACCUUCUGUAAUAGAUCGCGACCGCGUCGAGUUCGAAUGAAUAUCGAUUAAAAAAUAGCUGGCCUUACCAUAAGAAAACACCGAAUCCGGUGGCGCAAAUGCCCAGCAUUACCGCCGUUUUCCACAUGUUGGAUCGAACGCGUGCGUUACCCGGUUAUCAGAACACUCGACUACCUCGGUUACUGCUGACGAUGCACGCACGCAUGCGGCUAUGGGUACACUUGAACGCGGACGAACCUCUAUGGACUGGGUCACAGUAAUGAGAAAACCAGGUAAAGGUAUAGAAUCAAUCAACGAGACUCGGGAGCAGACUGGUCGAGCGAAGACGAGACAAUGAGAGAAAAUUUGUGUAUCAUCGGGCGAAGAAGAGUGGUGGUGUUGUGGUGGCGGCGAGGGAAACUUAUCUCUGCCGGUACCACCUAGUGGUCGAUUAUCGGUACCGUGGAAAAUUCCGCGUAUGACACGAGUCGACCGCGCAGCGAAAACUAACGUCUUUUCUAUUAAAUAUGUAUUACACCACACUACGUCCUGUGAUAAAUGUGUAUUACACCACG